GCCGACGUAGCUCAGUUGGUAGAGCACCUCUCUCGUAAAGAGGAUGUCGCCGGUUCGAGUCCGGCCGUCGGCU
This 73-nucleotide transfer RNA is filed under the name Thermoleophilaceae bacterium. Its description in RNAcentral is "tRNA-Thr". It matches the Rfam family "tRNA". Rfam says of the family: Transfer RNA (tRNA) molecules are approximately 80 nucleotides in length. Their secondary structure includes four short double-helical elements and three loops (D, anti-codon, and T loops). RNAcentral also lists the same sequence under 1 other name. Lineage: Bacteria; Bacillati; Actinomycetota; Thermoleophilia; Thermoleophilales; Thermoleophilaceae. The record is from RNAcentral.